This 198-nucleotide unclassified non-coding RNA is filed under the name uncultured Russula. Its description in RNAcentral is "sequence contains ITS1". Lineage: Eukaryota; Fungi; Basidiomycota; Agaricomycetes; Russulales; Russulaceae. The record is from RNAcentral.
CCGUACAGCAGAGAUGCCCUAAGGGCUGUCGCUGACCUUUGCAGGUCGUGCACGCCCAAAGGUGCUCUCUCUCCCAUCCAUCUCACCCCUUUGUGCAUCACCGCGUGGGCCGCCCCCUAUCGGGAUCGGUUCACGUUUUUACACAGACCCACCGCAUGUGUAGAAUGUCUUAAUAUUUGCGAUAAUACGCAAUCAAUA